Molecule: ribosomal RNA, 628 nt
Filed under: uncultured bacterium
Lineage: Bacteria
Description: bacterial SSU rRNA
Rfam family: Bacterial small subunit ribosomal RNA
Source: RNAcentral
CGCUGGCGGCGUGCCUAACACAUGCAAGUCGAACGAGAAAGUGGAGCAAUCCAUGAGUAAAGUGGCGUACGGGUGAGUAACACGUGACUAACCUACCCUUGAGUGGGGGAUAACUUCGGGAAACCGAGGCUAAUACCGCAUAAUACCUUCGGGUCAAAGGAGUAAUUCGCUUAAGGAGGGGGUCGCGGCUGAUUAGCUAGUUGGUAGGGUAAUGGCCUACCAAGGCAAUGAUCAGUAUCCGGCCUGAGAGGGCGCACGGACACACUGGAACUGAAACACGGUCCAGACUCCUACGGGAGGCAGCAGUGGGGAAUUUUGCACAAUGGGGGAAACCCUGAUGCAGCAACGCCGCGUGGAGGAUGAAGUCCCUUGGGACGUAAACUCCUUUCGACCGGGACGAUAAUGACGGUACCGGUGGAAGAAGCCCCGGCUAACUCUGUGCCAGCAGCCGCGGUAAUACAGAGGGGGCAAGCGUUGUUCGGAAUUAUUGGGCGUAAAGGGUGCGUAGGCGGUGCGGUAAGUCUUCUGUGAAAUCUCCGGGCUCAACUCGGAGUCUGCAGGAGAAACUGCCGUGCUUGAGUAUGGGAGAGGUGAGUGGAAUUCCUGGUGUAGCGGUGAAAUGCGUAGA